Molecule: ribosomal RNA, 2246 nt
Filed under: Shigella sonnei
Lineage: Bacteria; Pseudomonadati; Pseudomonadota; Gammaproteobacteria; Enterobacterales; Enterobacteriaceae
Description: partial 23S ribosomal RNA
Rfam family: Bacterial large subunit ribosomal RNA
Source: RNAcentral
UCCUGACUGACCGAUAGUGAACCAGUACCGUGAGGGAAAGGCGAAAAGAACCCCGGCGAGGGGAGUGAAAAAGAACCUGAAACCGUGUACGUACAAGCAGUGGGAGCACGCUUAGGCGUGUGACUGCGUACCUUUUGUAUAAUGGGUCAGCGACUUAUAUUCUGUAGCAAGGUUAACCGAAUAGGGGAGCCGAAGGGAAACCGAGUCUUAACUGGGCGUUAAGUUGCAGGGUAUAGACCCGAAACCCGGUGAUCUAGCCAUGGGCAGGUUGAAGGUUGGGUAACACUAACUGGAGGACCGAACCGACUAAUGUUGAAAAAUUAGCGGAUGACUUGUGGCUGGGGGUGAAAGGCCAAUCAAACCGGGAGAUAGCUGGUUCUCCCCGAAAGCUAUUUAGGUAGCGCCUCGUGAAUUCAUCUCCGGGGGUAGAGCACUGUUUCGGCAAGGGGGUCAUCCCGACUUACCAACCCGAUGCAAACUGCGAAUACCGGAGAAUGUUAUCACGGGAGACACACGGCGGGUGCUAACGUCCGUCGUGAAGAGGGAAACAACCCAGACCGCCAGCUAAGGUCCCAAAGUCAUGGUUAAGUGGGAAACGAUGUGGGAAGGCCCAGACAGCCAGGAUGUUGGCUUAGAAGCAGCCAUCAUUUAAAGAAAGCGUAAUAGCUCACUGGUCGAGUCGGCCUGCGCGGAAGAUGUAACGGGGCUAAACCAUGCACCGAAGCUGCGGCAGCGAUGCUUAUGCGUUGUUGGGUAGGGGAGCGUUCUGUAAGCCUGCGAAGGUGUGCUGUGAGGCAUGCUGGAGGUAUCAGAAGUGCGAAUGCUGACAUAAGUAACGAUAAAGCGGGUGAAAAGCCCGCUCGCCGGAAGACCAAGGGUUCCUGUCCAACGUUAAUCGGGGCAGGGUGAGUCGACCCCUAAGGCGAGGCCGAAAGGCGUAGUCGAUGGGAAACAGGUUAAUAUUCCUGUACUUGGUGUUACUGCGAAGGGGGGACGGAGAAGGCUAUGUUGGCCGGGCGACGGUUGUCCCGGUUUAAGCGUGUAGGCUGGUUUUCCAGGCAAAUCCGGAAAAUCAAGGCUGAGGCGUGAUGACGAGGCACUACGGUGCUGAAGCAACAAAUGCCCUGCUUCCAGGAAAAGCCUCUAAGCAUCAGGUAACAUCAAAUCGUACCCCAAACCGACACAGGUGGUCAGGUAGAGAAUACCAAGGCGCUUGAGAGAACUCGGGUGAAGGAACUAGGCAAAAUGGUGCCGUAACUUCGGGAGAAGGCACGCUGAUAUGUAGGUGAAGUCCCUUGCGGAUGGAGCUGAAAUCAGUCGAAGAUACCAGCUGGCUGCAACUGUUUAUUAAAAACACAGCACUGUGCAAACACGAAAGUGGACGUAUACGGUGUGACGCCUGCCCGGUGCCGGAAGGUUAAUUGAUGGGGUCAGCGCAAGCGAAGCUCUUGAUCGAAGCCCCGGUAAACGGCGGCCGUAACUAUAACGGUCCUAAGGUAGCGAAAUUCCUUGUCGGGUAAGUUCCGACCUGCACGAAUGGCGUAAUGAUGGCCAGGCUGUCUCCACCCGAGACUCAGUGAAAUUGAACUCGCUGUGAAGAUGCAGUGUACCCGCGGCAAGACGGAAAGACCCCGUGAACCUUUACUAUAGCUUGACACUGAACAUUGAGCCUUGAUGUGUAGGAUAGGUGGGAGGCUUUGAAGUGUGGACGCCAGUCUGCAUGGAGCCGGCCUUGAAAUACCACCCUUUAAUGUUUGAUGUUCUAACGUGGACCCGUGAUCCGGGUUGCGGACAGUGUCUGGUGGGUAGUUUGACUGGGGCGGUCUCCUCCUAAAGAGUAACGGAGGAGCACGAAGGUUGGCUAAUCCUGGUCGGACAUCAGGAGGUUAGUGCAAUGGCAUAAGCCAGCUUGACUGCGAGCGUGACGGCGCGAGCAGGUGCGAAAGCAGGUCAUAGUGAUCCGGUGGUUCUGAAUGGAAGGGCCAUCGCUCAACGGAUAAAAGGUACUCCGGGGAUAACAGGCUGAUACCGCCCAAGAGUUCAUAUCGACGGCGGUGUUUGGCACCUCGAUGUCGGCUCAUCACAUCCUGGGGCUGAAGUAGGUCCCAAGGGUAUGGCUGUUCGCCAUUUAAAGUGGUACGCGAGCUGGGUUUAGAACGUCGUGAGACAGUUCGGUCCCUAUCUGCCGUGGGCGCUGGAGAACUGAGGGGGGCUGCUCCUAGUACGAGAGGACCGGAGUGGACGCA